AGAGAGAAUGCCGGUAUGAGUAGCGAGAAUAAAGUGAGAAUCUUUAUCGUCGAAAGCCUAAGGUUUCCUGGGGAAGGUUCGUCCGCCCAGGGUAAGUCGGGACCUAAGCCGAGGGCGAGUGCCGUAGGCGAUGGACAACUGGUUGAGAUUCCAGUACCACUUUAGAAGCGUUUGACUGAUGCAGUGACACAGAAGGAUAGGCAAAGCGGGCUGAUGGUAGUGCCCGUCCAAGCACUAAGGCAGGUGGCGUAGUGAAGUACGCGCCGCUAUAUGCCAAGGUGUGAUGGGGACAGAAAAUAAGUAUGGAAGUUGCCGAAUUCACGCUGGCGAGAAAAGCUGCUAAAGGAGUUUUUAGAGUGCCCGUACCGCAAACCGACACAGGUAGGCGAGGUGAGAAACCUAAGACGAGCGGGAUAACCCUUGUUAAGGAACUCGGCAAAAUGACCCCGUAACUUCGGGAAAAGGGGAGCCCUGGAAACAGGGCCGCAGUGAAUAGGCUCAAGCGACUGUUUAGCAAAAACACAGGUCUGUGCGAACUCGAGAGAGGACGUAUACGGGCUGACGCCUGCCCAGUGCCGGAAGGUUAAGGGGAAGUGUUAGCGUAAGCGAAGCACGGAACUUAAGCCCCGGUGAACGGCGGCCGUAACUAUAACGGUCCUAAGGUAGCGAAAUUCCUUGUCAGGUAAGUUCUGACCCGCACGAAUGGCGUAACGACUUGAGCGCUGUCUCAACAAGGGACCCGGCGAAAUUGUAGUAUGGGUGAAGAUGCCCAUUACCCGCGAUAGGACGGAAAGACCCCGUAGAGCUUUACUGCAACUUGGCAUUGAAUCUUGGCAAUAGAUGUACAGGAUAGGUGGGAGACAGAGAAGCAAGGACGUCAGUCUUUGUGGAGUCAACCUUGGGAUACCACCCUUCUAUUGCUGGGGUUCUAACGGCGUGCGGUGAUCCCGGCGCUGGACAUUGCCAGGUGGGCAGUUUGACUGGGGCGGUCGCCUCCCAAAGAGUAACGGAGGCGCCCAAAGGUUCCCUCAGAAUGGUUGGAAAUCAUUCGUAAGAGUGCAAAGGCAGAAGGGAGCCUGACUGCGAGAGAGACAUCUCGAGCAGGGACGAAAGUCGGGCUUAGUGAUCCGGCGGUAUGAGAGUGGAAUUGCCGUCGCUCAACGGAUAAAAGCUACCUCGGGGAUAACAGGCUUAUCUCCCCCAAGAGUCCACAUCGACGGGGAGGUUUGGCACCUCGAUGUCGGCUCGUCGCAUCCUGGGGCUGAAGUAGGUCCCAAGGGUUUGGCUGUUCGCCAAUUAAAGCGGCACGCGAGCUGGGUUCAGAACGUCGCGAGACAGUUCGGUCCCUAUCCAUCGUGGGCGUUGGAGAUUUGAAGGGAGCUGUCCUUAGUACGAGAGGACCGGGAUGGACAGACCUCUGGUGUACCAGUUGUCCUGCCAAGGGCACUGCUGGGUAGCCAAGUUUGGAAAGGAUAAACGCUGAAAGCAUCUAAGCGUGAAGCCCCCCCUAAGAUAAGAUCUCCUUAUCAGACCCCUUGUAGACGACAAGGUUGAUAGGCUGGAGGUGGAAGUGCAGUAAUGCAUGCAGCUGACCAGUACUAAUCGGUCGAAAGCUUGAUUUC
Molecule: ribosomal RNA, 1622 nt
Filed under: soil metagenome
Description: bacterial LSU rRNA
Rfam family: Bacterial large subunit ribosomal RNA
Source: RNAcentral